CCGCCCCGCCUCCUCUCCCUCGACCGAGCGCCUCCCACCUGCCCUCUCGCGCGGUCCUCUCCCUCGCCGUCGCCGCAGCAAUCUCCUCCCUGUCUCGCUUGCCGACGCCGCCCUCGCCCUCCGCGUCUCGCUCGACGACCACGCCGGGCCGCCGUCCCGCUCGCGCCGCCCUCGCCUCCCCAUCUCGCUCGCCGGCGCCGCCGCCACGCCCUCUCCGCCCCAUCCCGCUCACCGGGAACGAGCCCCCUCCUCCUCGGUCUCCCGGCGCGGACCAAGCGAGGCGCGGUCCGCGCGGCCGCCGUCCCUCGCCUCCGCUCCUGCAGCCGGACACGGUCUCCGUCUCGCUCGACGACCUCGCCGCGCGGCUGUCGUCCCCGGCUGCCGUCCGUGCCACCGCUGCGCCGCCCCCGGCAUCGCAGAUCCACGUUGUACGUGCCGCCGCUCUCCUGUCCCCUACCGCCAUACGCGCCGCCGCAGCUCCAUCGCCGUCCGCCGUACGCGCCGCCCCCGGCGCAUGUUGGAGCUGAAAUGCAGCUGGCGGAGGCAAGGGCUGGAGGAUCCAGCAAGGCGCAGCUCGGAGCGGAGGAGGACGGGGUGGGGCGGAUCUGGCGCAGGAGGCGGGAGCUCCGAUGCGGUGGCACGGAGGGGGCCGCUCGCCGCUGACCUGGGCGAGCUCGAGCCCCAGCAAUCUCUUCUUGCUGUGUUCAUAGCCCAGGGCUUGCAUAGGUUCAAGAAAGAAAAUUGCAAUCUCAUCAUUGUGGGUGGCAAGAUUCAGAAGCAACAUUAUGUGCACUUGAAAUUUGCAGUUCUGGCUUUCAGCAUUUCCCCGAAGAAACCUAGCUAAAUUUCACCACAAAUCUUAUUGACAGUAAUAUUAGCUAGGCUGCAUUUGAUCAGAUGCAAGCCUUUAAACCAAAAAUGUAUGGUCACCCUAAAAAAGGUGGUACUCUUAACUCUUUAUACUAAGGAUGUUUAUAUUUACUAUAUGAUCUUCCCUUCCCUAUGCUUCAAGCAAUUGGUGAAAUACAGGUCAUCAACCCUAUCAGCAAAUGGCUCAGUUCUACAUAAAAAAUGCUUUGCAAAAAUGGCAUCAGCGAAAGAGAUAUUCCAGGCCAUGUCAGGCAAAUUGCUCCAAAGUUUUAGGAUGGAAUUACGGCAUUUGCAACAGUCCAAUUAUUGAGGAGAUACGUGGCUUAGGGAUGAUAAUGGGAACUGAAGUCACCAAUAACAAGUCACCAACUGAUCUAUUCCCCUGCUGAAUGGGUAAUUGGUGCAAUCUUUGGGCAGGAGUGCCAGAAGCGCGGCAUGCUGGUGAGGGUUGCCGGCGACGCUAUCAUGAUGUUGCCGACACUGAUCAUGACACCUAGGGAAGUCGGCGAGGUUGAUGAGCUGAUGAGAAUCUAUGGGGAAGCCCUUAAGGCCACUGAGGUGAGGGUGGCAGAGCUGAAAUCCAAGAGGAAUUAGGCAAUUAGCCAAGCACGACGAAGAUGACGGUAAACAUCAGGCAGCGAUGAACACAUGUACAGAAGAAUAAGUUCAGGGUUGGGAGAUGGCAAUAAUGCUGCAACGGGCACUACUCUUGAAGGGCAACAACUGUGCAAGGUAGCAGCUGCUCUGUCACUGUCUCACUAAGCAAUCUCUUUUAGUGAGAGAGACAUCAUCCAUCAACAUAGAUAGGACUAUUUGUUGACAUAUUUUAGUUUAUUUUAUUACCAAGGGUCCAAGGCACGCCAGGAGGCUUACUCCAUUCAUGUUUAUUCUAAGAAAAAUGACCUGCUAUGGUUCCCUUACGUUUUUGCUAACCUCAUUUCAUAU
Molecule: long non-coding RNA, 1815 nt
Organism: Panicum virgatum (switchgrass)
Lineage: Eukaryota; Viridiplantae; Streptophyta; Magnoliopsida; Poales; Poaceae
Exons: 5
Source: RefSeq, a predicted model, not a curated record